Rana temporaria (common frog) is the source of this 724-nucleotide long non-coding RNA. RefSeq lists it as uncharacterized. The transcript has 2 exons. Lineage: Eukaryota; Metazoa; Chordata; Amphibia; Anura; Ranidae. The record is from RefSeq and is a predicted model, not a curated record.
CUCUAUGUUGAUUGAAAACAGAAACGGUAUAAAUUUCAAAAGUGUCCGCCGCUUCCUACGGCAUCCACAGGGUUAUCAUCCCUUUUCGGAGUUGAUACAGCUGUAGAGAACACAAUUAAAAUUAAUUGCUCUCAACUGAAGUUCCCUUUUUUCUAUGAUACAUAGACAUCGGAAUACUGCUGCAAAUUCUAAUUGCAACAUUAUCCUCAGUGAAUCCCAUCGAUUCCCAAAACAUCCCUUUCCUGAAGGCUUUGGAAGCCAUUACGGGCAUUCCAUAAGGACUCAAGUUCAUUGUUUUGCAUGAGGCAGAAUGCCAUGUUUUUUUCAUUAGACGUAUACACAAGGGAAAUUCGAUGCGGAUCCAACAGGUGUCCCAGGAAAGUAUUUCUCCAGCACAGCUAUGAAGUCAGAUGGAUUUAGGGGAAAUUGGCCGGGCUCCUCAAUACCUCUCAGCAUUCACAUCUGCAGCAGCUCUGUUCUCAGGUAUAUAGACGAUCGAAAAAUAAGAGCAAAAGAAAAACUGAACAUCAGUCUAUCCGGCACAACAAAGGCGAUUAGGAGACCUGCGGAGCACAAUACCUUCUCCUGAAUUGUUCCUUCUAAGAUAAAGUGAUAUUUCCAACACUUCUUAUUCCCACAAAGACCUUCACUGCGGGUUGCUUGAACAAUAGAAACGCUGAAAGUAAUACAGAUGCCUUACUGGUAAUACAACUUAUAACGCACA